AUUGAACGCUGGCGGGAUGCUUUACACAUGCAAGUCGAACGGCAGCGCGGACUUCGGUCUGGCGGCGAGUGGCGAACGGGCGAGUAAUGUAUCGGAACGUGCCCAGUAGCGUGGGAUAACUACGCGAAAGCGUAGCUAAUACCGCAUACGCCCUACGGGGGAAAGGAGGGGAUCGUAAGACCUUGCACUAUUGGAGCGGCCGAUAUCGGAUUAGCUAGUUGGUGAGGUAACGGCUCACCAAGGCGACGAUCCGUAGCUGGUUUGAGAGGACGAGCAGCCACACUGGAACUGAGACACGGCCCAGACUCCUACGGGAGGCAGCAGUGGGGAAUUUUGGACAAUGGGGGCAACCCUGAUCCAGCCAUCCCGCGUGUGCGAUGAAGGCCUUCGGGUUGUAAAGCACUUUUGUCAGGAAAGAAACGUCGCGGGCUAAUACCCCGUGGAACUGACGGUACCUGCAGAAUAAGCACCGGCUAACUACGUG
This 484-nucleotide ribosomal RNA is filed under the name uncultured bacterium. RNAcentral's name for it is "partial 16S ribosomal RNA". It matches the Rfam family "Bacterial small subunit ribosomal RNA", at positions 30 to 507 of the family's 1533-position model. The record is from RNAcentral.